GAUGAAGAACGCAGCGAAAUGCGAUAAGUAAUGUGAAUUGCAGAAUUCAGUGAAUCAUCGAAUCUUUGAACGCACCUUGCGCUCCUUGGUAUUCCGAGGAGCAUGCCUGUUUGAGUGUCAUUAAUAUAUCAACCUCUUCAGCUUAUGCUUGUUGAGUGUUGGAUGGUGGGGGUUUGCUGGUGUCUUAUGAAGUCAGCUCCUCUGAAAUGCAUUAGCGGAACAAUUUGUUGACCGUUCAUUGGUGUGAUAAAAAUAUCUACGCUAUUGACGUCAGUCAGUUCAGCUUCUAACAGUCCAUUGACUUGGACAAAUUUUUCAUUAAUGUGACCUCAAAUCAGGUAGGACUACCAGCUGAACUUAAGCAUAUCAAUAAGCGGAGGA
RNAcentral lists this unclassified non-coding RNA (381 nucleotides) under soil metagenome. RNAcentral describes it as "partial contains 5.8S ribosomal RNA, internal transcribed spacer 2, and large subunit ribosomal RNA". The stretch from base 1 to 120 matches the Rfam family "5.8S ribosomal RNA", at positions 35 to 154 of the family's 154-position model. The record is from RNAcentral.